UCGCCCUUAGAGUUUGAUCCUGGCUCAGGAUGAACGCUAGCUACAGGCUUAACACAUGCAAGUCGAGGGGAAACGACAUCGAAGGCUUGCUUUUGAUGGGCGUCGACCGGCGCACGGGUGAGUAACGCGUAUCCAACCUGCCCACCACUUGGGGAUAACCUUGCGAAAGUAAGACUAAUACCCAAUGACGUCUCUAGAAGACAUCUGAAAGAGAUUAAAGAUUUAUCGGUGAUGGAUGGGGAUGCGUCUGAUUAGCUUGUUGGCGGGGUAACGGCCCACCAAGGCGACGAUCAGUAGGGGUUCUGAGAGGAAGGUCCCCCACAUUGGAACUGAGACACGGUCCAAACUCCUACGGGAGGCAGCAGUGAGGAAUAUUGGUCAAUGGACGAGAGUCUGAACCAGCCAAGUAGCGUGCAGGAUGACGGCCCUAUGGGUUGUAAACUGCUUUUAUAAGGGAAUAAAGUGAGUCUCGUGAGACUUUUUGCAUGUACCUUAUGAAUAAGGACCGGCUAAUUCCGUGCCAGCAGCCGCGGUAAUACGGAAGGUCCGGGCGUUAUCCGGAUUUAUUGGGUUUAAAGGGAGCGUAGGCCGGAGAUUAAGCGUGUUGUGAAAUGUAGAGGCUCAACCUCUGCACUGCAGCGCGAACUGGUCUUCUUGAGUACGCACAACGUGGGCGGAAUUCGUGGUGUAGCGGUGAAAUGCUUAGAUAUCACGAAGAACUCCGAUUGCGAAGGCAGCUCACGGGAGCGCAACUGACGCUGAAGCUCGAAAGUGCGGGUAUCGAACAGGAUUAGAUACCCUGGUAGUCCGCACGGUAAACGAUGGAUGCCCGCUGUUGGCCUGAAUAGGUCAGCGGCCAAGCGAAAGCAUUAAGCAUCCCACCUGGGGAGUACGCCGGCAACGGUGAAACUCAAAGGAAUUGACGG
This 926-nucleotide ribosomal RNA is filed under the name uncultured bacterium. RNAcentral describes it as "bacterial SSU rRNA". It matches the Rfam family "Bacterial small subunit ribosomal RNA", at positions 1 to 916 of the family's 1533-position model. The record is from RNAcentral.